GCGAAAACUUUACAAUGCUGGCAACAGCGAUAAGGGAACCUCGAGUGCCAGGUUACAAAUCUGGCUGUCGAGAUGCCUAAAAAGCAUUUCAUAGCAAGGGUCGGGCAAGACCGGUGCCAGCCGCCGCGGUAACACCGGCGGCUCGAGUGGUAACCGUUAUUAUUGGGUCUAAAGGGUCUGUAGCCGGCCGGAUAAGUCUCUUGAGAAAUCUGGCAGCUUAACUGUCAGGCUUUCAGGAGAUACUGCCUGGCUCGAGGCCGGGAGAGGUGAGAGGUACUUCAGGGGUAGGGGUGAAAUCUUGUAAUCCUUGAAGGACCACCAGUGGCGAAGGCGUCUCACCAGAACGGACCUGACGGCAAGGGACGAAAGCUAGGGGCACGAACC
Molecule: ribosomal RNA, 384 nt
Filed under: uncultured prokaryote
Description: bacterial SSU rRNA
Rfam family: Archaeal small subunit ribosomal RNA
Source: RNAcentral